Molecule: ribosomal RNA, 465 nt
Filed under: uncultured bacterium
Lineage: Bacteria
Description: partial 16S ribosomal RNA
Rfam family: Bacterial small subunit ribosomal RNA
Source: RNAcentral
CCUACGGGAGGCAGCAGUGGGGAAUAUUGCGCAAUGGGCGAAAGCCUGACGCAGCGACGCCGCGUGAGGGAUGAAGGUCUUCGGAUCGUAAACCUCUGUCAGCAGGGAAGAACGGUCACUGUGCUAAUCAGCAGUGAAUUGACGGUAACUGCAAAGGAAGCACCGGCUAACUCCGUGCCAGCAGCCGCGGUAAUACGGAGGGUGCGAGCGUUAAUCGGAAUUACUGGGCGUAAAGCGCUCGUAGGCGGUAUGUCAAGUCAAGGGUGAAAUCCCCGGGCUCAACGUGGGAACUGCCUUUGAAACUGGCAGACUGGAGUGUGUGAGAGGAUAGUGGAAUUCCAGGUGUAGGAGUGAAAUCCGUAGAUAUCGGGAGGAACAUCAGUGGCGAAGGCGACUAUCUGGCACAUAACUGACGCUGAGGAGCGAAAGCGUGGGUAGCAAACAGGAUUAGAUACCCUUGUAGUC